UGUCUCACUGCGCAGCCGACGUGGCCAGGCGCCUGUACAUCCCCUGGGUGAAGUUUCCCAGCUUCGGCAAGAAGUUGCGCAGGUAGAUCUCGUUUUCGUUGCUCAGGGAGCAGUUCUGGAGAAGGAAAAGCAUAAAUACAUUAGAGCUGACAGUGAGAUGUAGCAGCUCAGGCAGUGGGUAGCCAGGCCACCAGCCCACACAAGAUGCUUUGUUUCAAUUGCUUCUGUCUCCAUAUAAAUAAUUCAGCAAAUAAUUCAGAGUUGUGAGGAUGAUGCCCCAGGAUGUUGGGAACUCAUCCCUUGCCUCAGGACAAGCACCCAGCCCCCGUGCCUGGCAGUGUGACCCCCGUGGCCAUGGGUCUGGGGUGGCUGGGGCUGGCGGGGACAUUCACCCUCUUCCCGUGGAGGUGAAUUAUCUCACAGAGCCGCGCAGGUUUGCGAUGCCCCGGUCUGGCCCCAUGCAAGGUAAAUACCGGCCUGCUCAGCCCUGUGGGUGCGUGGGGGAGCCGGCACGGAUACGGGCCCCGUGCUCGGCAGAGCUGGCACCGGGGGCAAGGCUGCGCCGGGGGGCUGGAGCCGCACAGUGGGGCGGCGAGCGGGGAGGCUGCGGCUCCUGCUUACCGUCUUGCCGUGCAAGCUCUGCAAGUUGAUGAUGAAGGGCUCGUAGUCCUUCCUGCACCUGGUGACUUUCAUGAGUGCCAUGGCAGCCUGGCACAGCAGCUCCUGCUCUGACAGCUGGAAACCACAGGGAAGAAAUCAUUAGAGCCCUGUGUUUGAUGUAAGUUGAUGCUACUUAUCGAGGUGUCCAGGACUGGUGGGAGGUUUCACAGAGACUUUCUAAACUGUUUUCGUUUUAUGGCUGUAAUCACAGCCCCGUGUGGUGACUUGGGCCCUGGGCUGGGGGCAGGGGAGCUGGGGGCAGAGGUGGUGGCUGGGGGCAGGUCCUUGGGCACAGCCGGCAUCCAUCUGUGCACUUGCCCCCAGCGAUGGUGCUUGAGCGGCUCUAGCCCGGUGACUAAUAAAACUACCUCUGCUACGUGGGCUGUGCACUGCAGUGAGGAAGGUGCUGGUGAUGUUGGUGUGUAUUAAAAAUGUGUUUUCUGCCUGUGUCUCUAUCAUCUUUUACCUUUCGAUCCGUGAAGGCAACCUGUGCCACUCGGGUGUCAUUGCAAGGGACCUGGAGAGGUGACACAAGGGAGAGCCAUUGUUACGAGAGACCAUCAUUACAAGGUAAGACCUUCCCCAGGAGCUGCCAGCUGCACCCUCCCCUGGGAAGAGGCACCAUAUCCCAGUCCCUCCGGCAGGACACAGUGCGGAUGCACCCUGGGUGCUGCACCACCGAGACCCAUCUUUCAGCAAAUUGUUCCAUAACAGGCUCCUGGGAAGUCGGGCCCUGGGGUUGCACAGCAUUUGCAAGCAGUUGUUUGGGAAGGGGCAGGAGGGUCCCUGGGUGCUCUGUGGGUGCUAUGGACCAGAGCAGAGCAGAACCCCCCUGCAGCUCGCACUGUGCCAGGCCACUGUGUCCCCUUCACCAAGCUGCCCCAGUCACCCUGACACAGCUCUGUGUGUGGCACAGGGAGGUUUGGGGGAGGUUCUCUUGUUCCUCGGCAUUUUUUCCUGCAAUGUGCCUAAUGUCAGGUGCAAGACUUCACCCUGGCUGCCACCAGCAUCCUCCUGUACCACCAGGUCAAAUCCUGAGCACCCAAAGUCUAGGCUGAGAUGGGCCAGGGUGCCCAAAGCUGGAGGUGGGAUGCAGCGGGCUGAACCAGUCAGGAAUGCCUGAUGGCAGUGCCGGUGCCUGGCCUUCAGCACCAAGGAAUAUCAUCAUCAUCAUCAAUAACGUUCCUCUGUCUGUAAGCAAAGAAACACCAGGAGGUGUAACAGCAUUUACCUGUACUCCUGAGUUGAGCUGUUGGAUGCGGUGGGUGAUCUCUGACAGCUUUACUUUGGGAAAGGUGGUCAUCAGUGGGGUGGACGAGAUGAGCUCGAGCAGGGAGAGGAGCAUGAAUGCAGCCUUCAGCAAGGGGAGCAUCCUGUCACCGCUGCUGGGUGCUUCCCGUGCUGGCUGGGCUGGCUGGCCGGGGCCUCUCUGCCUCGCUGCUUGGCAAAGCACCAUUUUUAUAGUGCGAAGAGGGACCGGCGUCUCCAUUGAGUACCAAAUAUAGGUGUCUUCCUGUGCUGAUGAGGCGCAACGGCCCAAAGAAGGCAUUAUGUAAUGACAGCGCAGACUUUUCGCCCUUAACCAAUGUUAUCUGUUAUUCAGCUACCAUGCAGAUUUUAAUCACCUAAUUGAUAGAUGAAGAGAUACUGGGACAAGUUGAGAAUUUCUCUUUGACGUUUGAGUAUCUGUUUACUAUUGAGUGUGUUUGCAACAUGCUGCAUGUGGAAAAUGAUGAAUGUGUGCACGACUUAACCAAGCGCGUUGCAAGACCCGUGUAAAGUCAAGCCAUCUUCUAAUGUGCAGAGAAAUAUCUGUGAAGUUUUGCUUGUCUCCACAACGGAAAAGACAAACAGCUACACAGAAGGACCAGCUCUGGGAUGUGUGUGCCUGGAAGCCUGCCGGGCUCCUGCCUUGGAUAUCGAUGUCUCACGGGAGGACAACAUGACCCCAUCAAGUAUCUGGUUGAAUUUGGAGGUGUCUCCCCACCACAGCUUUGCUGUCCACGUGCUGCUGCAAGCACAGGUGGAGCGGCUCGAUGCCGGCGGCACCGGUGGCUCUGCUCACACUGGCACCCCGCACUGCUGCGGCCCCGGCUCGGGCAAACCCCCUCCGGGGAGACCCAGCCUUCGCCUUAUACCUGCUUUCAGUGAAGUCAAGGUGUUGCAUAGCUCGAGGAAAUGCUGAACUUUACCUUUCAAACAAACUGCUUCCAGUUCCACCGCAUCCUUUUUGUGUUGGAAGAGUUAACGUCGCAACGCAAAGCCCAGGUUGGUUGCCCCAAAUCAUCACACAUAGACGAAGAGCAGUGGGCUGGGCUGGAGCUGUGGGCACCGUGGCACGGAGGGCAUUGGUGGACAUGGAUGGAAUCAGUGGGAAUCAACAGAAAGAAACAGUGUAUGCAAAAGCUUUUUGCCUAAAAUGUAGCCUGCACCAAUAGAAACUUCAUGGAGAAGUUGCUCCUGGGAGUAGCAAGAUACAUGUUCUUGCAUCUGAGCGAGAGCCUGCCUGUGGCUGUGCCCUCCUUGUGGCAGUGUGUGCGUGUAUCUCGGCACGGAGGCCAGUGCUGCAGAGCCGCUCUCCUGCGCUGGCGUUUGGCUGCUGGAGACCCACCGCAGCGGUAAGUGACACGGCACGUGGGCAGCCAGGCGUUGCUCCUGCCCAGUGAGUUACUGCGACAAAUCUGUGCCUCGCUUGCCUCAAAACGCCUCAGCUUGGUUCCGCACUACUGCUGGCGUUGAACAUCUUGGAUGGGCAACAACCCCUUCCCCGCCACCACCCUCGCCUCCAGCCCACCACCCAGGCUGGAGAGGAGGCAGAGCCUGACCCGGGACGCCAGCGGCUGCCGUGCAGGCUCCAUGGUGGUGGCCACCGUCACUGGUACGGCACAGGAAGCCACAGCGGAGCAGGGAUCCCCCUGACGUGGCACUGGGGGCGGCUGACGGCACCCAUGGCAGCAGCCCUGCUUCCUGUGGGUGCAGCAGGGGAGGCAGCGGCAAAGCCCGCGCCGCAGCCAGUCGCAAGGGGGGCCCGUUUCUGUCCUCACUAUCCCAAGGUGCCCAUGAGCAGAAGAUUGUGAAAGUAUGUGAAGUUUCUCCUAUGCUUGAUUCAGACAAGCACGGUUUUUUUGUUUCCCAGUCCAUAUCAAAAGCAUGGGGCUGGUUGAGUCUCUUUUCCACGCUGUUAACUGUAGAGAGCCUAUGGUCUAUUCAAAUUAAAAAUGUGGAACACAAUCAUUAUGUGGAUCAUUUCUUGUCAUUUUAACACUAACACUUGAUGUAGGAGAUGUUAGUUUCCCACCACAUUUUCAGUCUUUUUUUUUCCAGGUUCUGGCAAAAGCUUAAUCCCCAAAGCCUGUGCGUGUGUGAGGAUAAACUUUGCAGCUGGGGAACGGAGGAGGGCCAAUUUAAGUAAAAAUGUGCCCGUUUUUAUAAAUACCUUAUAAAGGAAUUGCAAGCCACAGCUUUAACUUGGGGGAGAAAAAAGUAUAGAAUUCACAAAGGCUGGGGAGUUGCUUCUGAAGAUAACUUAAUUCUUCAUGAGCUGGGAUGUAUGUGUCAUGCUAAAACAAACAGGUAGUACAGGAAAAUUUGUAAAUUCAAAGUAUUUUUUUUUCUUUCUUCUGUUGAUUAUAUCUUUAAGAAAAUUCCCCUUCAGGAAGUAGUACUAGAGUCAGUGAAGCUUUUUAUUUAAAACUGCAAACGUAAUGCAUGUUAGUAGCAUUUUCCUUUGCCUUCUCAUCCCCAGUUUAAUUCCUUUUACAGGGGAUUGGUGAGAGAGUGUAAUUGCUAGGAAGUCCUAUUCAUUUGCUUAUCUUUGAGUGGUUGCCUAAUGACUGGGGCCACCCUGACUCUAGUGACUUGCAGUUUCAGAAAAUUCAGGUGGAAAUAAUUCUUAGUUCAAGUGCUCGGUUUCUGGCACUUACCCCUUUAAGACUCCUCAUUGCCAAGUCUACUUCGCUCUGGCUGAGGAACAUCAGCUGUUGAAUGAAGAAUCAGACCCGGGGUUCUGCUGGGUUUUGCUCUUUUUGGUGCAGGUGUCCAGAGCCCUUAGCAGGUGGCAGCAGUGGUAUGAGUGAGGGGUGCGGAGAGCCGGGCCGGGGCCGCAGCACAGCCGUGGGCAGGCAGGGCAGGCAGCGCGGGCAGCGCCCUCCCCGUGGGCAGAGGCCUCUGUCCGUGGUGCUUAACCAGCCCCGGGCCCUGCCGGCGCCCGCCAGCUCUGCCCGCACUCCUACCCCCUCCUCGCCUGCUUUCGGAGACUUUAUCCUUGUGAAAGAAAGGGAUUCCUGCAUUCUGAAGGAGAAGGCAGUGUGCAAUGUUCUCAGCCUUAUUUGUGUUAUUUGCCAAAAAACAAAUGUCCUGAUGUUACAGAGAUUAACUUUUUUUUCAUGGUGGUUUAAAUAUUCUUCCUCUGAAACUGAGCUUUGGUCAACGCUGUCUGCUAAGGAGGUUCAGCUGCUCACUACUGUCUGCAAGGGCUUGAAGAGCUGUAAGUCUGGCUGCUGCUUGUGGACUUGUACCUGGUACCCAGAGUUCAAGGUAAAAGAGGUGGGCCCUUACUUGGUUAUAAAGAUAUAGACCCGAAGUCGCAUCCCUUGGCUUGCAUGGCUUGAGGUGGUGAGGCACGCUGCUGAGGAACCCUGGUCUGAAACCUCAGGACUUGUGAUGAUCAUUCGUCACAAGUGAUGCAUGUGUGGUGCUUUGCAUUUUGAAGCGUGCCAUCCCUGUCAGCUUUCUGUUGUCAUUCUGAGCCGUUCCCUUUGGCCUGUGUUCUGCUGGGCUGGCGGGUAUUGCUGUACCAAGGAAAAGAGCUUCAGGAAGAACACCAAGUGGUGCAGGUGAGGCUCAGCAUCCACACACAUGACCUCUCUAAGCCAUUUUUGUGGCAUUUUCACAGAACUUGAUUGUAUCUCACAGGGAAUCAAUAUAUGAUGUAACUCUUAUAAAAGUCAUCAUCUUGAAGCAGCAGAGAAGAAAUGACAGUAAGCAAAAUGACACUAAGCAAAGACAAUGUGGUAAAAUAUGCUUCUGUCAUCCAUUCACCCAUUCAUCUAGCUAGAGAUGGGAUUUUCCUUUAUUCUAGACAGCUGUUAUAUUUUGUGAAGAUUCUGUCUUUGAACAGCCAGAGUAAUGUUCCCUUGAAGAGAAAACAGUAAAAAUUCUCUUUGAAGCUUGUGAAUUGUGUGUAGAC
Molecule: long non-coding RNA, 5848 nt
Organism: Falco peregrinus (peregrine falcon)
Lineage: Eukaryota; Metazoa; Chordata; Aves; Falconiformes; Falconidae
Exons: 6
Source: RefSeq, a predicted model, not a curated record